ACACCCUCAAGCACUGCUUGGUGUUGGGCGUCUGUCCCGCCUCCGCGCGUGGACUCGCCUCAAAGCGAUUGGCGGCUGGUAAGAAGGCCUGGAGUGCAGCAGGAUUGCGCCCCUUGUCCGGAGGCCGGCUCCCAGAAGCUGAACCCCCCAU
This 151-nucleotide unclassified non-coding RNA is filed under the name Teichospora viticola. Its description in RNAcentral is "sequence contains ITS2". Lineage: Eukaryota; Fungi; Ascomycota; Dothideomycetes; Pleosporales; Teichosporaceae. The record is from RNAcentral.